This 497-nucleotide ribosomal RNA is filed under the name uncultured bacterium. Its description in RNAcentral is "partial 16S ribosomal RNA". It matches the Rfam family "Bacterial small subunit ribosomal RNA", at positions 28 to 507 of the family's 1533-position model. The record is from RNAcentral.
GAUGAACGCUGGCGGCGUGCCUAAUACAUGCAAGUCGAGCGAACAGACGAGGAGCUUGCUCCUCUGACGUUAGCGGCGGACGGGUGAGUAACACGUGGAUAACCUACCUAUAAGACUGGGAUAACUUCGGGAAACCGGAGCUAAUACCGGAUAAUAUAUUGAACCGCAUGGUUCAAUAGUGAAAGACGGUUUUGCUGUCACUUAUAGAUGGAUCCGCGCCGCAUUAGCUAGUUGGUAAGGUAACGGCUUACCAAGGCAACGAUGCGUAGCCGACCCGAGAGGGUGAUCGGCCACACUGGAACUAAGACACGGUCCAGACUCCUACGGGAGGCAGCAGUAGGGAAUCUUCCGCAAUGGGCGAAAGCCUGACGGAGCAACGCCGCGUGAGUGAUGAAGGUCUUCGGAUCGUAAAACUCUGUUAUUAGGGAAGAACAAAUGUGUAAGUAACUAUGCACGUCUUGACGGUACCUAAUCAGAAAGCCACGGCUAACUACGUG